RNAcentral lists this unclassified non-coding RNA (253 nucleotides) under uncultured Gammaproteobacteria bacterium. RNAcentral describes it as "contains 16S-23S intergenic spacer region". It matches the Rfam family "Bacterial small subunit ribosomal RNA", at positions 524 to 776 of the family's 1533-position model. Lineage: Bacteria; Pseudomonadati; Pseudomonadota; Gammaproteobacteria. The record is from RNAcentral.
UACGGAGGGUGCAAGCGUUAAUCGGAAUUACUGGGCGUAAAGGGCACGCAGGUGGCUGAGAAAGUCGGAUGUGAAAGCCCCGGGCUUAACCUGGGAACUGCAUUCGAAACUACUUGGCUAGAGUAUGGGAGAGGGAAGCGGAAUUCCCGGUGUAGCGGUGAAAUGCGUAGAUAUCGGGAGGAACAUCAGUGGCGAAGGCGGCUUCCUGGCCCAAUACUGACACUCAUGUGCGAAAGCGUGGGUAGCAAACAGG